Rosa rugosa (rugosa rose) is the source of this 1227-nucleotide long non-coding RNA. RefSeq lists it as uncharacterized. The record is from RefSeq and is a predicted model, not a curated record. The transcript is spliced from 3 exons. Lineage: Eukaryota; Viridiplantae; Streptophyta; Magnoliopsida; Rosales; Rosaceae.
GUUAUCUGCUUUUAACGUGCUGGCAACAAUGGCCCGAUUUUAGUAUUAGUUGAUCAUUUACACAGAGUUUCAGUCUCUUCGUGCUGUGAAGAUCAAGCAAGUCCAUAGAACUGGGUCCAGCUCACAGAAACAAGGUUAUGGAGGUUGUGAAGAUGUUGGAGAUUAAGCUUCGAAUUGGAUAGAUUUUGCCCAAGUUGUUUCAGGUGACUGUUUUGAGCAAGAAGCUUGAUUUCCUGCUGUGACUAAACGUUAAGAACUGCUUUAUUUACUUAUUUUGAUCCCGCAGUACUUAGAUCAAACUGACUAAUUGUCCAACUGUCUCUGUGAGUUAAUUUCUCAGUUUCAUUCGGCAAAGCAGGAAACCUUCUCUCAAUUUCUUAAAUUAUGCUCCUACCUUCACUUGGUUUCAAUAUGAGCGGUUGGUAGGCAAGUGCAGAGAUUGUGCCUCCCUAAAUCAUGUUGGUGCACUAUGCCUGCAUGGCUGCAUCAGGCUCAUUAGGAGGGAAAUUGGGCGACGUUGGCGACUCAGGUGGCGGCAGUGGGGAGUUCGAUUGGAGAGAAGUAAACUAAAUACAAAAUAUUGGAUAGUAGAAUGUUAGGAACCAUCACAAAACGCAGAGAAACUGUUGGAAACACUUAAAGCUCCUCUAUCUCUAUUCAAAAUCGUGGGAGUCCGAUUGGAGAAACCAGGAUUAGAGGGAGAUGGACAAUGGUGAGACGAGUCCUAUGUCACUGGUUUGACGUCGUGAGGUAACCGAAUGGUAGAGAUCUGACGGGCCUUGUUUGUAAGUUAUUCCAGUCGUUAAAAUGAGUGUGCAUUUUGGGUUAUUCUUUAAUUGAAUUUUAACAAAAAAUAGAGCACUUAAUAGAGUUAAUCUUCAAUUAAGUUAGAGUACAAGUGUAAAAAAAUGGUACGAGUAACAAAAUAGGUAGAAAAUAUAUCGGGACAGCUGAAAUGCUCCUUAUUUUAUGGUUUUCAGACAGUCAAUAGAAAGCAUAUGUGAAAAUUUUAUAUUAAUAAGUCAAUAAAAUUACUCAUUUAACGUGUGAACCAAUUACAUUCACCCGAUCGUUCAGAAUCGUGAUACACUUGGUGGUCUGAGUUUAUAUUAUUAGUUUAUACGACCUACUUGUUGCUGCUGAUUGAUUCCCUCAAUUUAAUUUGUUUUUUUUCUUCUUCUUUUUAACCCUGCAAUGAUUUUCACCAAAUUCUAAUAAUCUUAUUGG